GCGGCAAUUCCAGCUCCAAUAGCGUAUAUUAAAGUUGUUGCAGUUAAAAAGCUCGUAGUUGAAUUUCGGGGUUCUACCGUUGGUCGGGCAAUAGUCUGUACUGGCGUGUAGAAUUUCUACCUUCUGGGGAACCAUCAUGUUAUUUAUUUAGCGUGGUGGGAAACCAGGACCUUUACCUUGAAAAAAUUAGAGUGUUCAAAGCAGGCUUACGUCUGAAUACAUUAGCAUGGAAUAAUAAAAUAGGACGGUGGUCCUGUUUUGUUGGUUUCUGAAUCACCGUAAUGAUUAAUAGGGAUAGUUGGGGGCAUUAGUAUUCAAUUGUCAGAGGUGAAAUUCUUGGAUUUAUUGAAGACUAACUUCUGCGAAAGCAUUUGCCAAGGAUGUUUUCAUUAAUCAAGAACGAAAGUUAGGGGAUCGAAGACGAUCAGAUACCGUCGUAGUCUUAACCAUAAACUAUGCCGACUAGGGAUCGGACGAUGUUAAUAGC
This 487-nucleotide ribosomal RNA is filed under the name Gigaspora margarita. RNAcentral's name for it is "SSU rRNA". It matches the Rfam family "Eukaryotic small subunit ribosomal RNA", at positions 576 to 1070 of the family's 1831-position model. Lineage: Eukaryota; Fungi; Glomeromycota; Glomeromycetes; Diversisporales; Gigasporaceae. The record is from RNAcentral.